UGUUAACCGAACGGCAUGGGAAGGCCGGUCAGAGAGUGUGAGAACCACGUAGGUGAAAACGACAAGAGCUGAGCAAGUUCCAGAGUACGGCCAGACACGUGAAACCUGGUCGGAAGAUGGGGGGACCACCCUCCAACCCUAAAUACUACCCAGUGACCGAUAGCGUAUAGUACUGUGAAGGAAAGGUGAAAAGCACCCCGGGAGGGGAGUGAAAAAGAACCUGAAACCCUGUGCCUACAAGCACCUAGAGCACGUCAAUGUGUGAUAGGGUACUUUUUGUAGAACGGUCCGGCGAGCGAUUGUAUGCAGCAAGGUUAAGGACUUAAGGUCUGGAGCCGAAGCGAAAGCGAGUUUGAAAAGGGCGUUAAGUUGCAUACAAUGGGCCCGAAACCGGGUGACCUACCCAUGGUCAGGUUGAAGUGGAAGUAAAAUUCCAUGGAGGACCGAACCGACCUCCGUUGAAAAGGCGGCGGAUGAACUGUGGGUAGCGGAGAAAUUCCAAUCGAACCCGGAGAUAGCUGGUUCUCCCCGAAAUAGUUUUAGGACUAGCCUCAAGUUAGAUACCUGGAGGUAAAGCACUGAAUAGCCUAGCGGCCGAGAGGUUAGCGAAGCUUAUCAAACUCAGAAUGCCAGAGUAUUGAUGCUUGGGAGUCAGACAGUGUCAGAUAAAUGUCAUUGUCAAAAGGGAAACAGCCCAGAUCUACAGCUAAGGUCCCAAAGUCAGGUUAAGUGGAAAACGAUGUGAAGAUACGCAGACAACCAGGAUGUUGGCUCAGAAGCAGCCACUCAUUCAAAGAGUGCGUAAUAGCUCACUGGUCGAGCGUCUUUGCGCGGAGAAUUUAACGGGGCUAAACCUGACACCGAAGCUUAGGCAAUGUAGUAAUGCAUUGGGUAGGGGAGCGUUGUAUACGCGGUGAAACAGUAGCGCAAGCGGCUGUGGAGUGUAUAGAAGUGAGAAUGCCGGAAUGAGUAGCGCGAAUGCAGUGAGAAUCUGCAUGGCCGAAAGCCUCAGGUUUCUGGAGGAAGGUUCGUCCGCUCCAGGUUAGUCGGGAGCUAAGGUGAGGCCUAACGGCGUAGCCGAUGCACAGACGGUAGAGAUUCCGUCACCACCAAAAGAGUUAAGCACAGGGACACAUUUGAAGUCUCAGAGCCGGGUGUUGGUUCCGGUAGAGAUCGAGGGAAAUUAGUACCGAAGUCUGGGAUGGAAGAUGGCGAGAAAAGCUGUGUGUAUUUCUGAGGUGCCCGUACCGCAAACCGACACAGGUAGGUAGGAAGAAGAUUCUAAGGCCAACGGGAGAAGGGUUGUUAAGGAACUCGGCAAAUUGACCCCGUAACUUCGGGAGAAGGGGUGCUCCAGAGAUGGAGCCGCAGAGAAUCGGCCCAAGCAACUGUUUACCAAAAACACAGGUUUGUGCUAAAUCGAAAGAUGACGUAUACGAGCUGACGCCUGCCCGGUGCUGGAAGGUUAAGAGGAGAUGUGCAAGCAUUGAAUCGAAGCCCCAGUGAACGGCGGCCGUAACUAUAACGGUCCUAAGGUAGCGAAAUUCCUUGUCAGGUAAGUUCUGACCCGCAUGAAAGGCGUAAUGAUUUGGGCACUGUCUCAACAGCCCGCCCGGCGAAAUUGUAGUACCGGUGAAGAUGCCGGUUACCCGCGACAAGACGGAAAGACCCCAUGGAGCUUUACUGUAGCCUAAUAUUGGGUUUCGAUGUUGCAUGCACAGGAUAGAUGGGACACUGGGAAACAAUCGCUUUGGCGGUUGCGGAGUGGCCGUUGGGAUACCAUCCUUGCGAUAUUGGAAUUCUAACCUGCGGCUCUGAAUCGAGUCGGGGGACAUUGUUAGGUGGGCAGUUUGACUGGGGCGGUCGCCUCCUAAAGAGUAACGGAGGCGUUCAAAGGUUCGCUCAGCUUGAACGGAAAUCAAGCAAAAGAGUGCAAACGCAGAAGCGAGCCUAACUGCGAGACUGACGGGUCGAGCAGUAACGAAAGUUGGAGUUAGUGAUCCGGUGGUAUGUGAGUGGAAAUGCCAUCGCUCAACGGAUAAAAGUUACCCUGGGGAUAACAGGCUGAUCUCCCCCAAGAGUCCACAUCGACGGGGAGGUUUGGCACCUCGAUGUCGGCUCAUC
Molecule: ribosomal RNA, 2124 nt
Filed under: metagenome
Description: bacterial LSU rRNA
Rfam family: Bacterial large subunit ribosomal RNA
Source: RNAcentral